Molecule: non-coding RNA, 77 nt
Organism: Dorea sp. 5-2
Lineage: Bacteria; Bacillati; Bacillota; Clostridia; Lachnospirales; Lachnospiraceae
Source: Rfam
UUGAGCCGUGUGAGGGGAAACUCUCAUGCACGGUUCUUAGAGGGGAAGGCGGUAGUAAUACCGCUGACCUACUCGAC